This 254-nucleotide ribosomal RNA is filed under the name uncultured bacterium. RNAcentral's name for it is "partial 16S ribosomal RNA". It matches the Rfam family "Bacterial small subunit ribosomal RNA", at positions 524 to 776 of the family's 1533-position model. The record is from RNAcentral.
UACGGGGGGGGGCAAGCGUUGUUCGGAAUUACUGGGCGUAAAGGGCGUGUAGGCGGGACGGUAAGUCGGGCGUGAAAUCCCUAGGCUCAACCUAGGAACUGCACUCGAAACUACCAUUCUUGAGUGUCGGAGAGGAAAGCGGAAUUCCUGGUGUAGAGGUGAAAUUCGUAGAUAUCAGGAGGAACACCAGUGGCGAAGGCGGCUUUCUGGACGAUAACUGACGCUGAGACGCGAAAGCGUGGGGAGCAAACAGG